RNAcentral lists this ribosomal RNA (419 nucleotides) under uncultured bacterium. Its description in RNAcentral is "bacterial SSU rRNA". It matches the Rfam family "Bacterial small subunit ribosomal RNA", at positions 355 to 773 of the family's 1533-position model. The record is from RNAcentral.
UGAGGAAUAUUGCUCAAUGGGGGAAACCCUGAAGCAGCAACGCCGCGUGAGGGAUGAAGGGGCUCUGCCUUGUAAACCUCUGUAGUUGGGGACAAAUGUGUGGUUACUACCGCAUUGAUGGUACCCAAAAAGUAAGGAUCGGCUAACUACGUGCCAGCAGCCGCGGUAAUACGUAGGAUCCGAGCGUUGUCCGGAUUUACUGGGUGUAAAGGGUGCGCAGGCGGAAUGGUAAGUCAGAGGUGAAAUCUCGUCGCUUAACGACGAAACUGCCUUUGAUACUAUCAUUCUUGAGUCCGGUAGAGAUCUGUGGAAUUCCGAGUGUAGCAGUGAAAUGUGUAGAUAUUCGGAAGAACACCAGUGGCGAAGGCAGCAGAUUGGGCCGGUACUGACGCUCAGGCACGAAAGCAUGGGGAUCAAAC